This 2355-nucleotide long non-coding RNA is filed under the name Cricetulus griseus (Chinese hamster). Its description in RNAcentral is "lncRNA (ENSCGRG00015040643.1)". The record is from RNAcentral. Lineage: Eukaryota; Metazoa; Chordata; Mammalia; Rodentia; Cricetidae.
UGAAGUAAGAGGCGAGGUGAAAGGUCAACUUCCCAGCAGCCUUUGCUCUUGUCUCUGGUCUAGGACCCUCGGGGGUGACUGUGUGGGAUUUGCUUAUAGUCUUGUGGUCUGGGUGAGUGUGUGCACGGGAGUUCGGGAGGAAGGGCGGAGCCAGGUGCCGGCCGCGGCGGGCUUCGAGUUCCUGGAGCCUCCGGAGCCUGAAUUGAUGGUGCCGGGCGCACGGGAGACUGGGAGUCGUCGGAGUCUGUCCGUCUGAUCGGUGUUGCUUGUGAACCUUGGACUGCCCCGUCAUAUUCCACCGGUUCAAUACGAGGACCUGCAUUCAAUUCCCAGCAGACACAUGGUAGCCCACAACCAUCUGUAGCUCCAUUUCCAGCAGAUCUGAUGCCCUCUUCUGGCCUCCAAGGACACUGAAUGCACAUAAAAUAAAAAUUAAUUUUCAGCCAGGCAGUGAUGGCACAGACAGAGUUUCUAUGUAUAGCCCUGCUGUCCUGGAACUUGCUCUGAAGACCAGGCUGGCCUCACACCUCCCGCUCCCCCAGAGCAAAGUGUGGUGAUGCACACUUAUAGUCCUAGUGUAAUGGAAAGCUGAGGUGGCCAUGCCACUUUAGCCAAGGGUGACCUUACGCUCAUGGUCCUCCUGCCUCAAAAGCAAUUUAGUAAAUAUGUUUUAAAGAGCAACUUUGCAUUUUUAAAAGACUUUCUUGUUAUCUCUAAUUAUGUGUAUGGUAUAAGUACAUGAGUAUAGGUGCCUGAGGAGACCAGAGGCAUCCAGUCUCCCUGAGCUGGAGUUACAGGCAGUUGUGAGCUUCAGGACAUGGAUGGUGAGAAGAAACCCUGGUCUUCUGUGUGGCAGUAAGUGCUCUAAACUAUUGAGCACUUACUCUCCAGCCCCACAGCUUUUAAUUUUGUAAAGACAAGCACUUGCAGUCUGCUGACUCUGCUUUGUAGAAGAGUGCUGUGACUUAGAAUCAGUUUUAACUCCAAAGAACAUCUUAAACAGACACAAUGUAGAACUUUGUCCACACUGACAUGGUGUUAUCUGAGGGAUCCUCAACAAUCAGUUUUGCUUUGCACCAGUCUUCUAUUUUAUUUUCCUUUUUAAUAAUGUAUUUAUUUGUUGGAGGGAGUGAGCGUGGGACAACUUUCCACAGCUGGGUUAGAUCCUGGGAAUCUGACUAACUUACGUUGUCUGACUUGGCAGCAAGCGUAUUUACCCUUUGAGGUAUCUUGCUAGACUAAGGCUAACUUAUUCUCUGAAAUCGAGUGAGACUCAGUCAUUUAACUUUGCAAAUGAAACCAGCUCCACUGGGGAAAGAUGCCUUCCCUUCAGUUACUGCACAGAUCAUGUGAAAUGAUGUGGCUUCGGGAGGUUAAGUUAAAACCAGGCAAGCAUAAGAUAGGACUUCCUGGGGCCUAUGAAUCAUAGGAGUGGGUCAGCUUCCCAUGCACUUAGAAAAUGCCUACAAAGAGAAAAGUGUUAAACAAAGUUGCCUUUGGAAUUGAACCUGUCUCCUUUUUUCUUAGUCUCACUCAAGGAGGCUUUUAUGCCCAGAGUGACCAGCAACUGUCCUGUAUUGGCCUGGCUGCUCCCCUUUGUAUCUCUUCCCAGUGUGGUGAGUGUGGUUUACUGAUGCCGUGCUUCCUUUGUUUGCCACCUCAUCCAUUGAACUUGACCUCUUCUGCCUUCCUAGCUGAGUCUCUCUUCUUCCCCAUCCCCCUCUACCAAUAAGGAGACUGAACCUAGGCCUUGCUCCCACUAGGCAAACAUCUGCGUCGCACACCCUCAAAAUCAAACAUAGUACUCUCAAAAAUGAUAACCUUAGAAAAUAUCUAUUCAUGCUUUAAGAAAUGUUAUCUUUGUAAUAUAACAUGAAAAGAACUUAAUUCUUGUAGCUUCUGUUUUUAGUCAGAAGGAAGAAUGUGUCAGAUAAGUGAUAAUAGCUGGUAAGUUAAAAGACUAAUAUAGUUAAUAACACCAGCAAAAGUUAUUGAAGUCAUAAAAAUGAACAAAAUCUUUCCAUGGAAGUUUGUAAAAAAUGUAAUAGCUUUAUUCUCAUUUUUAAAUAAAAAUGAGGUCAUAUGUGGCUCAUUCCUGCAAUCCCAGCAUUUGUGAAACCAACACAGAAGAAUUGCUGUAAGUUUGAGGCCAGCGUGAGUUACAAUAUGAGAUCUUGUUUUAAAAAAAAGAAUUAACCCAGCACUUGGGAGGCAGAGGCAGGUGGAUCUCUGCAAGUUCAAGACCAGCCUGGUCUACAGGACAGCCUCCAAAACCACAGAGAAACCCUGUCUCGAAAAACAAAAGCAAAAAAUAAACAAACAAAAAAUUAAUUUAAAUAAAUGAAAUAAAAUUAG